AUACGGAGGGAGCUAGCGUUGUUCGGAAUUACUGGGCGUAAAGCGCACGUAGGCGGCUUUGUAAGUCAGAGGUGAAAGCCUGGAGCUCAACUCCAGAACUGCCUUUGAGACUGCAUCGCUUGAAUCCAGGAGAGGUGAGUGGAAUUCCGAGUGUAGAGGUGAAAUUCGUAGAUAUUCGGAAGAACACCAGUGGCGAAGGCGGCUCACUGGACUGGUAUUGACGCUGAAGUGCGAAAGCGUGGGGAGC
This 247-nucleotide ribosomal RNA is filed under the name uncultured bacterium. Its description in RNAcentral is "partial 16S ribosomal RNA". It matches the Rfam family "Bacterial small subunit ribosomal RNA", at positions 523 to 769 of the family's 1533-position model. The record is from RNAcentral.